RNAcentral lists this ribosomal RNA (263 nucleotides) under uncultured bacterium. Its description in RNAcentral is "partial 16S ribosomal RNA". It matches the Rfam family "Bacterial small subunit ribosomal RNA", at positions 793 to 1055 of the family's 1533-position model. The record is from RNAcentral.
GUCCACGCCCUAAACGAUGGAUACUAAGUGUCGGCGGGUUACCGCCGGUGCCGCAGCUAACGCAGUAAGUAUCCCGCCUGGGGAGUACGGCCGCAAGGUUGAAACUCAAAGGAAUUGACGGGGGCCCGCACAAGCGGUGGAGCAUGUGGUUCAAUUCGACGCAACGCGAAGAACCUUACCCAGGCUGGACAUGCUGGUAGUAGGAGGGUGAAAGCCCAACGAGGUAGCAAUACCAGCCAGCUCAGGUGCUGCAUGGCUGUCGU